This 466-nucleotide ribosomal RNA is filed under the name uncultured ammonia-oxidizing beta proteobacterium. Its description in RNAcentral is "bacterial SSU rRNA". It matches the Rfam family "Bacterial small subunit ribosomal RNA", at positions 198 to 645 of the family's 1533-position model. The record is from RNAcentral. Lineage: Bacteria; Pseudomonadati; Pseudomonadota; Betaproteobacteria.
GGAGGAAAGCAGGGGAUCGUAAGACCUUGCGCUUUUGGAGCGGCCGAUGUCUGAUUAGCUAGUUGGUGGGGUAAUGGCCUACCAAAGCUUCGAUCAGUAGCUGGUCUGAGGGGACGGCCAGCCACACUGGGACUGAGACACGGCCCAGACUCCUACGGGAGGCAGCAGUGGGGAAUUUUGGACAAUGGGCGCAAGCCUGAUCCAGCCAUGCCGCGUGAGUGAAGAAGGCCUUCGGGUUGUAAAGCUCUUUCAGCCGGGAAGAAAAGGCUGCGAUUAAUAAUCGCAGUUCAUGACGGUACCGGAAGAAGAAGCACAGGCUAACUACGUGCCAGCAGCCGCGGUAAUACGUAGGGUGCGAGCGUUAAUCGGAAUUACUGGGCGUAAAGGGUGCGCAGGCGGUUUUGUAAGUCAAAUGUGAAAUCCCCGGGCUUAACCUGGGAAUUGCGUUUGAAACUACAAGGCUAGA